UGUAAAUACGAGGAGUGAGUGUUGCGCCGAGCAUGAUCUUCAAACAAGCGUGUGAAGAAUUGGAGCUGCUGAAGAGGUAAACUACGCUCUUGUGUGAUCCAGGUGACUAAUGUUCGGAUCCUAACAUAGAUUCAUCAUUGACAUGAGGAAAGGAGCUCGUGGUCUUGUGGUAGCGUUCUCGCUUCCCGCGCAAGGGGUCCCGGGUUCGAUUCCCGGCGGGCUCAGGGAUUUUCCAUGCCUCGAGAUGACUGGGUGUUGUUGUGUCGUCUUCAUCAUCAUCAUUCAUCCCGAUUACGGUAGGAGGAAGCCAAUG
This is a long non-coding RNA of Schistocerca nitens (vagrant locust), 313 nucleotides long. RefSeq lists it as uncharacterized. The transcript is spliced from 3 exons. The record is from RefSeq and is a predicted model, not a curated record. Lineage: Eukaryota; Metazoa; Arthropoda; Insecta; Orthoptera; Acrididae.